GAUGAACGCUGGCGGCGUGCCUAAUACAUGCCAGUCGAGCGAACGGACGCGACGCUUGCUUCUCUGAUGUUAGCGGCGGACGGGUGAGUAACACGUGGAUAACCUACCUAUAAGACUGGGAUAACUUCGGGAAACCGGAGCUAAUACCGGAUAAUAUUUUGAACCGCAUGGUUCAAAAGUGAAAGACGGUCUUGCUGUCACUUAUAGAUGGAUCCGCGCUGCAUUAGCUAGUUGGUAAGGUAACGGCUUACCAAGGCAACGAUGCAUAGCCGACCUGAGAGGGUGAUAGGCCACACGGGAAGUGAGACACGGUCAAGACUCCUAAGGGAGGGAGCAGUAGGGAAUCUUCGGCAGUGGGCGAGAGCAUGACGGAGCAAGGCGGCGUGAGUGAUGAAGGUCUUCGGAGCGUAAAACUCUGUUACUAGGGAAGAACAGAUGUGGAAGUAAAUGAGCAGAGAGUGACGGUAACGAAUCAGAAAGCAACGGCUAACUACGUG
RNAcentral lists this ribosomal RNA (497 nucleotides) under uncultured bacterium. RNAcentral describes it as "partial 16S ribosomal RNA". It matches the Rfam family "Bacterial small subunit ribosomal RNA", at positions 28 to 507 of the family's 1533-position model. The record is from RNAcentral.